CCUACGUGUGGCUGCAGUGAGGAAUAUUGGUCAAUGGCCGUAAGGCUGAACCAGCCAAGUCGCGUGAAGGAAGAAGGAUCUCUGGUUUGUAAACUUCUUUUAUAGGGGAAUAAAGAUAUCCAGUUGUGGAUAUUUGCAGGUACCCUAUGAAUAAGCAUCGGCUCACUCCGUGCCAGCAGCCGCGGUCAUACGGAGGAUGCGAGCGUUAUCCGGAUUUAUUGGGUUUAAAGGGUGCGUAGGUUGUGAUUUAAGUCAGCGGUGAAAGGUUGUGGCCCAACCAUAAAAGUGCCGUUGAAACUGGAAGACUGGAGUGUGUUUGAGGUAGGCGGAAUGCGUGGUGUAGCGGUGAAAUGCAUAGAUAUCACGCAGAACUCCGAUUGCGAAGGCAGCUUACUAAGCCAUAACUGACACUGAAGCACGAAAGCGUGGGGAUCAAACAGGAUUAGAUACCCCAGUAGUC
RNAcentral lists this ribosomal RNA (460 nucleotides) under uncultured bacterium. RNAcentral describes it as "partial 16S ribosomal RNA". It matches the Rfam family "Bacterial small subunit ribosomal RNA", at positions 338 to 795 of the family's 1533-position model. The record is from RNAcentral.